GCCAAGUGAGGUGGUGUACACCUGUAGUCCCAGCUACUCAGGAGGCUGAGCCAGGAGGAUCACUUGAGCCCAGGAGUUCUAGGCUUCAGUGAGCUAGGGUGGCACCACUGUACUCCAGCCUGGGUGACAGAGCAAGAUCCUGUCUCUU
Molecule: small RNA, 148 nt
Filed under: Macaca fascicularis (crab-eating macaque)
Lineage: Eukaryota; Metazoa; Chordata; Mammalia; Primates; Cercopithecidae
Description: Metazoan signal recognition particle RNA (ENSMFAG00000059980.1)
Source: Rfam by way of RNAcentral